GACGAACGCUGGCGGCGUGCUUAACACAUGCAAGUCGAACGGAAAGGUCCUGCUUAUGUGGGGUGCUCGAGUGGCGAACGGGUGAGUAACACGUGAGUACCCUGCCCUUGACUUUGGGAUAACUUCAGGACACUGGGGCUAAUACCGGAUAGGAGCUCCUGCUGCAGGGUGGGGGUUGGAUAGUUUCGGCGGUUGGGGAGGGACUCGCGGCUUAUCGGAUUGUUGGUGGGGUGGUGGCUUAGCAAGGCUUUGACAGGUAGCCGGGCUGGGAGGGGAGGAGGCGCCAUCGGGCCUGGGAUGAGCCACGGACUAGACUGGGAGGCGGAGGAGGGGAGUAGUGUCCGAGAGGCGGGAGCCUAAUGCGGCAACGCCGCGUGCGGGGUGAGAGGCUUCGGGUAGUGUAGCGCUUUUGCCUGAGACGAGAAGAUAAUGACGGUACUAGCUGAAGAAGCACCGGCUAACUCCGUG
RNAcentral lists this ribosomal RNA (468 nucleotides) under uncultured bacterium. Its description in RNAcentral is "partial 16S ribosomal RNA". It matches the Rfam family "Bacterial small subunit ribosomal RNA", at positions 28 to 507 of the family's 1533-position model. The record is from RNAcentral.